AUACGUAGGGGGCGAGCGUUGUCCGGAAUGAUUGGGCGUAAAGGGCGCGUAGGCGGCCCGGUAAGUCUGGAGUGAAAGUCCUGUUUUUAAGAUGGGAAUUGCUUUGGAUACUGUCGGGCUUGAGUGCAGGAGAGGUAAGUGGAAUUCCCAGUGUAGCGGUGAAAUGCGUAGAGAUUGGGAGGAACACCAGUGGCGAAGGCGUCUUACUGGGCCGUAACUGACGCUGAGGCGCGAAAGCGUGGGGAGCGAACAGGAUUAGAUACCCUGGUAGUCCACGCUGUAAACGAUGAAUGCUAGGUGUAGGGGGUAUCGACCCCUCCUGUGCCGGAGUAAACGCAAUAAGCAUUCCGCCUGGGGAGUACGGCCGCAAGGUUGAAACUCAAAUGAAUUGGCGGGG
Molecule: ribosomal RNA, 397 nt
Filed under: uncultured bacterium
Lineage: Bacteria
Description: partial 16S ribosomal RNA
Rfam family: Bacterial small subunit ribosomal RNA
Source: RNAcentral